Molecule: long non-coding RNA, 2418 nt
Filed under: Homo sapiens (human)
Lineage: Eukaryota; Metazoa; Chordata; Mammalia; Primates; Hominidae
Description: non-protein coding lnc-EFNB2-8:1
Source: RNAcentral
AUUCAAGGUGGCUUUGGCUGCUUGCUUGUCAUUCUGAGUGUGGGGACACACAUGCUACCCUGGUUGUCAGCAGGUGAGAAGGGGGCUCUGAUCAGCUUCUCACUGGAUUUAGAGAAGAGCAGAUGCCCCUGAUCAGCUUCUCACUGGAUUUAGAGAAGAGCAGAUGUCCCAGACUUGUAGCUGCCAUUGCCUCUCUCUUUCGGAAAAUGAGAGUUGCUAAGAGGUGAGAUCAGGCUUUCCCAUGGGAGGAUAAGUCUUGACUGGAGGGAGGUUUAUCCAGUGUGUUCGGGUCAGAGGCUGAAUCAAACUGCAGAGGAGGUGACCAAAGGUAGAGUGGGGUGGCCCAGUGACUGGGGCAGGUGGGGGUCCUGCAUUUUACAAAAAUCUCCCUUGUUUAUUGUUAGUCAGACUAUGGGCCCUACAAUAUUAUCGAUGUGAAAAGUGCUUCCCCUUUUGGUCUCUAAAUUUUUCUUUCCUGGGCUUUAGUCCAUCUCGGACUGAUGCCUGGUACUACCAGCCUUCGGAGAGCUGUAUCAGUCUGCCCAUGCUGCCAGAACAAAAUACCACAGGCCAGGUGACUUAAAUAUCAGAAAUUUGUUUCCCACUGUUCUGGAGGCUGGAAGUCUGAGAUGAGGAUGCUGGCAGGGUUGGUUUCUCCUGACGCCUCUCUCUUUAGCUGGCAGAUGGCCGCCUUCUCCCUGGGUCCUCAAAGGGCCUUUUCUCUCUCUAUGGGAAUCCCUGGUGUCUCUUUCUUUUUGUAGAAGAACAGCAGUCCUACUGGAUUAGGCCCCAGUCUAAAGGCCUCGUGUUAAUUACCUCCUUAAAAGGCCAAUAUCAGCCGGGUGCAGUGGCUCACACCUGUAAUCCCAGCACUUUGGGAGGCCAAGGUGGGUGGAUCACCUGAGGUCAGAAGUUUGAGACCAACCUGGGCAACAUGGUGAAACCCCUUCUCUACUAAAAAUACAAAUACUUAUCCAGAUAUAGUGAUGGGUGCCUGUAAUGCCAGUUACUGGGGAGGCUGAGGUAGAAGAAUUGCUUGAACCAAGGAAGCAGAUGUAGCAGUGAGCCGAGAUCGUGCCACUGCACUCCAGCCUGGGCAACAAGAACAAAACUCCAUCUCAAAACAAAAAAAAAAAAAAAAAAAAAAGAAAGAAAGAAAAGCAAAGCAAAGCCCAAUAUCCUAAUAGUCACUUUGGGGAUUGGGGCUUCAGCCUGUGAGUUUUGGAAGGGACACAAUUCAGUCCAUCACAAAAACUCAUCCCUGAUGUCCCUGCUAGUCAGAUUAGGCUAGGCCAUGCAUUAGCAAUAAGAAUCACCAACAUCUCAGAUGUGUACAUGACCCUGUGCAUUUUUCCCUCACUCUCCGCUUGGUGCAGUUCUAGAAGAUGCAUCAGGGUAGCUGUCCUCCCCAGGGUGACUCAGAAGUCCGGGAUGACUCAAUUUUAGGGACCACCAAAGUAGCACAAGGCCCCUCAGUCAUGGCAGGGAGCAGAGAGUGUGAAGCUGUCACACCGGCUUUUCUGGGCUUUGGCUGGAAGUGCUGCAUAUCACUUGCUCUCUCUGUCCAUGUGACAGACUCGUGGUCCAGACUCGUGGCCCUGCCUAAUUGCAAGGAUCGGAAAAGUGAGAUCAUGAGUGACUGUUACAGCAGCAAAAAUAAACUAAGACACUGUGAACAAAGGGAACCUGUUAAUAUAUUUAUCCAACUCAGUGAAAAGAUUUUGCUGGACAGAAUGACAAUCUUCAUCCCCUGGGAACACUAAUAUCAGUUACUUUUAUUGAUACAACCUGGGUAUGCUGCCUGAAGAUGUGAAGCCCCUUCAGCCUUCUGAUAGCAAAUACAGUGGCUCAGGCCUGCAUCCCACAUAACAGAAGGAGUGAAACACAUGCCUGUGGGCGUGUAACAUUCAGAAAGAACUGAAUGUUGGUGUGUACAGUCGUGUCUAUCACAACCUCCUGUAUGAGAAAGAUAAUUGUAGUAUCAAUUGCUAUUGGGUAUUGAGUGGCAAACACUGUGCUCAAAAAGUAUAUAAAAUACUCAGUGUUAGCACUAAAUUAAAAAAAAAUUACUUACUUCUUUCAACAACCCUAUGAUGAGGAACUAUUAGCCUUAAAUUUUGGAGGAACAAAUUGACCCAGUAGGAAUAGUAAGAAUGCGAGAGCUUAUAUGCACAUGGAAUGAAGUGCCUAGAAUUUUUGAGCCUGUUGCAGUCACUUUGUGAAGGAAGCUCAGGCUUAAAAAGGAGAUGAGAGAGCAAGGGAUGGCAAAGGAGACCUGGAACUACAGGGAGCUGGUGGCAGCUCAGCAGUUGGCCAGUGAGGCGGUCCCUGGGAUGGGGGAUGGUACAUACAUUUUUAGUGUGCCUUCAAUCAUAUGUCUUUCCCUGCCUGUGCAGUAAUUACCUGCUGUUAUCCCAG